CGGAGCCGGCUGGCAGCUACGGGGAACCUGAGGAAACACCGUCCUCCGCACGGUACGGAGGCUCCGUAAGGAGCGCGGGGAGACCCGCGGCAACGGCACAGAAACGAAACGGCCGCUCCCGUAUGUCUAUGAUGCGGUGAAGACCCCCCGGUAACGGGGGGUCAGUAACCCGCUGAGUAUGGGGGCGGAUGCGUUGAAACGGCCGUCCCUCCGGGAGCAAGGCCGAGCAGCGCCGAUGAGUUACCGUGUGAGGCGCGGGUAGGCCGCCUAGUCGGAUGCUGCCGUAGUACAGAAGGCGGGUUAUAGCCGGCACCG
This 315-nucleotide RNase P RNA is filed under the name Desulfurococcaceae archaeon. RNAcentral's name for it is "RNase P RNA component". It matches the Rfam family "Archaeal RNase P". From Rfam's summary of the family: Ribonuclease P (RNase P) is a ubiquitous endoribonuclease, found in archaea, bacteria and eukarya as well as chloroplasts and mitochondria. Lineage: Archaea; Thermoproteati; Thermoproteota; Thermoprotei; Desulfurococcales; Desulfurococcaceae. The record is from RNAcentral.